Molecule: non-coding RNA, 78 nt
Filed under: Chamaesiphon minutus PCC 6605
Lineage: Bacteria; Bacillati; Cyanobacteriota; Cyanophyceae; Gomontiellales; Chamaesiphonaceae
Source: RNAcentral
GGGAGCUGGAUGCGGUGAAAGUCGCACGUCCAGAUCUAACAGAGAGGGGCGAGACAUAAUAGUCUCCCUCGACUCUAC